RNAcentral lists this ribosomal RNA (458 nucleotides) under uncultured bacterium. Its description in RNAcentral is "partial 16S ribosomal RNA". It matches the Rfam family "Bacterial small subunit ribosomal RNA", at positions 28 to 507 of the family's 1533-position model. The record is from RNAcentral.
GAUAAACGCUGGCGGCGUGCAUGAGACAUGCAAGUCGAACGAAGGAUCGGGCUUGCUCGAUCCUUAGUGGCGGACGGCUGAGUAACGCGUAGGUGACCUACCCCGAAGUGGGGAAUAACUGCCCGAAAGGGUGGCUAAUACCGCAUGUGGUCGCACGUUCAUUCGUGCGAGUAAAGCCGCAAGGCGCUUCGGGAGGGGCCUGCGUCCGAUUAGCUCGUUGGUGGGGUAAUGGCUUACCAAGGCGACGAUCGGUAGGUGGUCUGAGAGGACGAUCACCCAGACUGGGACUGAGACACGGCCCAGACUCCUACGGGAGGCAGCAGUCGGGAAUUUUGCUCAAUGGGGGAAACCCUGAAGCAGCAACGCCGCGUGAGGGAUGAAGGCCUUCGGGUUGUAAACCUCUUUUGUCAGGGACGAUGAUGACGGUACCCGGCGAAUAAGCCACGGCUAACUACGUG